RNAcentral lists this ribosomal RNA (492 nucleotides) under uncultured bacterium. Its description in RNAcentral is "partial 16S ribosomal RNA". It matches the Rfam family "Bacterial small subunit ribosomal RNA", at positions 30 to 507 of the family's 1533-position model. The record is from RNAcentral.
AUUGAACGCUGGCGGCAUGCUUUACACAUGCAAGUCGAACGGUAACAGGCCUUCGGGUGCUGACGAGUGGCGAACGGGUGAGUAAUGCAUCGGAACGUGCCCAGAUGUGGGGGUUAACGCAGCGAAAGCUGUGCUAAUACCGCCUGUUAUCUCAGGCUGAAAGCGGGGGACCGAGCAGCAAUGUUUGGCCUCGCGCCUUUGGAGCGGCCGAUGUCGGAUUAGCUAGUUGGCGGGGUAAAGGCCUACCAAGGCGACGAUCCGUAGCUGGUCUGAGAGGACGACCAGCCACACUGGGACUGAGACACGGCCCAGACUCCUACGGGAGGCAGCAGUGGGGAAUUUUGGACAAUGGGCGCAAGCCUGAUCCAGCAAUGCCGCGUGCGGGAAGAAGGCCUUCGGGUUGUAAACCGCUUUUGUCAGGAACGAAACGGUGUCCGCUAAUACCGGGCGCUAAUGACGGUACCUGCAGAAUAAGCACCGGCUAACUACGUG